CUCAUCAUUUCAUCUCAUCAUUCAUCUCAUCAUUUCAUAUCAUUUUAUCUCAUCUCAUCAUUUCAUCUCAUUUCAUCAUUACAUUUCAUCUCAUUUUAUGUCAUCAUUUCAUGUCAUCAUUUCAUCACAUCUCAUCUCAUCAUUUCAUCUCAUCAUUUCAUCAUUUCAUCUCAUUUCAACUCAUUGCAUCUCAUCUCAUUUCCAUUUCAUUAUUCCAUUUCAUCAUUUCAUUAUGUCAUUUCACCUCAUCAUUUCAUCACAUCUCAUCUCAUCAUUUCAUCUCAUCAUUUCAUCAUUUCAUCUCAUUUCAACUCAUUGCAUCUCAUCUCAUUUCCAUUUCAUUAUUCCAUUUCAUCAUUUCAUUAUGUCAUUUCACCUCAUCAUAUUUCAUCUCAUUUCAUCUCAUCUCAUCAUUUCAUUUCAUCUCAUCAUUUCAUCUCAUUUUAUCUCAUCUCAUCUCAUCAUUUCUUCUCAUCUCAUCAUUUCCAUUUCAUUUUCAUUUCAUUAUUUCAUCAUUUCAUUAUUUCAUUUCAUCUCAUUUCAUUAUUUCAUUUCAUUAUGUCAUUUCAUUUCAUCUCAUUACAUUUCAUCUCAUUUCAUCUCAUCAUUUCAUCCAUCAUUU
RNAcentral lists this long non-coding RNA (622 nucleotides) under Homo sapiens (human). RNAcentral's name for it is "HSALNT0304068". Lineage: Eukaryota; Metazoa; Chordata; Mammalia; Primates; Hominidae. The record is from RNAcentral.